Molecule: non-coding RNA, 112 nt
Filed under: uncultured Eisenbergiella sp.
Lineage: Bacteria; Bacillati; Bacillota; Clostridia; Lachnospirales; Lachnospiraceae
Description: THF riboswitch
Rfam family: THF (Tetrahydrofolate) riboswitch aptamer
About the family: THF riboswitch presents a pseudoknot that joins P1-P2 and the loop of P3 and two THF binding.
Source: RNAcentral
GCAGAGUAGAAAUUUGUACGUGGAUCAGGGAUCCGGGUGCCUUCUGAACGGGGAGUUGUCAGAGGGACGAAAAGCCUUUCCGGCUUACGCUGCAUAGUUCGCAUCCCGCUGC